Molecule: long non-coding RNA, 440 nt
Organism: Denticeps clupeoides (denticle herring)
Lineage: Eukaryota; Metazoa; Chordata; Actinopteri; Clupeiformes; Denticipitidae
Source: Ensembl
GCACAGUAUCACAGUUUAUCGUGAUAUAAUUGUGAUCCAUGUAUCGUGAUACGUUUCAUAUGCCAAUACACACCCCUACCUUGUAAAGGAGUAUUUGUAUUGUAAUGAAAUUUUUAAUGUUUCAGAUAUUGAAAGCACCCAUUUAAAAUGGUCCUGUGAGCCUUCACACAAUAAUGAUACGACAUGUACUCAUACAACCAUUAUGAGACUUGCACUACAAUACUCUACAAGAUUCAAAGCUGAGACAACCAGGCAAGAAUUGUGAAAACCGCAAAAAAGCAGAUGUCAAAAAUCUGCUCAACUUGCAAGAAUAAAACACCGAAUCAAUAAAAAUAUAUGGGGGGCAGAAUAAAUGUUAGAGCAGUAGUCAAUAAAUUCAGACAUCACACCUACUACUCAGGCCAAAAACCGCCUUAAGCACUUAUUUCAGACCAUCAUUU